This 497-nucleotide ribosomal RNA is filed under the name uncultured bacterium. RNAcentral describes it as "partial 16S ribosomal RNA". It matches the Rfam family "Bacterial small subunit ribosomal RNA", at positions 28 to 507 of the family's 1533-position model. The record is from RNAcentral.
GAUGAACGCUGGCGGCGUGCCUAAUACAUGCAAGUCGAGCGAACGGACGAGAAGCUUGCUUCUCUGAUGUUAGCGGCGGACGGGUGAGUAACACGUGGAUAACCUACCUAUAAGACUGGGGUAACUUCGGGAAACCGGAGCUAAUACCGGAUAAUAUUUUGAACCGCAUGGUUCAAAAGUGAAAGACGGUCUUGCUGUCACUUAUAGAUGGAUCCGCGCUACAUUAGCUAGUUGGUAAGGUAACGGCUUACCAAGGCAACGAUGCAUAGCCGACCUGAGAGGGUGAUCGGCCACACUGGAACUGAGACACGGUCCAGACUCCUACGGGAGGCAGCAGUAGGGAAUCUUCCGCAAUGGGCGAAAGCCUGACGGAGCAACGCCGCGUGAGUGAUGAAGGUCUUCGGAUCGUAAAACUCUGUUAUUAGGGAAGAACAUAUGUGUAAGUAACUGUGCACAUCUUGACGGUACCUAAUCAGAAAGCCACGGCUAACUACGUG